Molecule: ribosomal RNA, 534 nt
Filed under: Arsenophonus endosymbiont of Bemisia tabaci
Lineage: Bacteria; Pseudomonadati; Pseudomonadota; Gammaproteobacteria; Enterobacterales; Morganellaceae
Description: partial 23S ribosomal RNA
Rfam family: Bacterial large subunit ribosomal RNA
Source: RNAcentral
GGAGGCGAACCGGGGGAAGUGAAACAUCUCAGUACCCCGAGGAAAAGAAAUCAACCGAGAUUCCCCCAGUAGCGGCGAGCGGACGGGGAGCAGCCCAGAGUCAGCAUCAAUAUUUACCGCAGGAGAAGGGUCUGGAAAGGCCGGCAAUAAAGGGUGAUAGCCCCGUAUUUGAAGCGGUAAGUGUUGUGAACUCGAAGAGUAGGGCGGGACACGUGUUAUCCUGUCUGAAUAUGGGGGGACCAUCCUCCAAGGCUAAAUACUCCUGACUGACCGAUAGUGAACCAGUACCGUGAGGGAAAGGCGAAAAGAACCCCGGCAAGGGGAGUGAAAUAGAACCUGAAACCGUGUACGUACAAGCAGUGGGAGCACCCGAAAGGGUGUGACUGCGUACCUUUUGUAUAAGGGGUCAGCGACUUAUAUUCUGUAGCAAGGUUAACCGCAUAGGGGAGCCGUAGGGAAACCGAGUCUUAACUGGGCGUUAAGUUGUAGGGUAUAGACCCGAAACCCGGUGAUCUAGCCAUGGGCAGGUUGAAG